GAUGAACGCUAGCUACAGGCUUAACACAUGCAAGUCGAGGGGAAACGAUAUUGGAAGCUUGCUUCCGAUAGGCGUCGACCGGCGCACGGGUGAGUAACGCGUAUCCAACCUGCCCACCACUUGGGGAUAACCUUGCGAAAGUAAGACUAAUACCCAAUGACGUCUCUAGAAGACAUCUGAAAGAGAUUAAAGAUUUAUCGGUGAUGGAUGGGGAUGCGUCUGAUUAGCUUGUUGGCGGGGUAACGGCCCACCAAGGCGACGAUCAGUAGGGGUUCUGAGAGGAAGGUCCCCCACAUUGGAACUGAGACACGGUCCAAACUCCUACGGGAGGCAGCAGUGAGGAAUAUUGGUCAAUGGGCGAGAGCCUGAACCAGCCAAGUAGCGUGCAGGAUGACGGCCCUAUGGGUUGUAAACUGCUUUUAUAAGGGAAUAAAGUUAGUCUCGUGAGACUUUUUGCAUGUACCUUAUGAAUAAGGACGGGCUAAUUCCGUG
RNAcentral lists this ribosomal RNA (492 nucleotides) under uncultured bacterium. RNAcentral's name for it is "bacterial SSU rRNA". It matches the Rfam family "Bacterial small subunit ribosomal RNA", at positions 28 to 507 of the family's 1533-position model. The record is from RNAcentral.